GGAACGCGGGAUCCGGGGCCUCGUGGGCACUCACGCGGGCAGAAGCAGGCAGCCAAGGCCGCUGGCUGUGCUUACCUGCGCGUCGCUCGGCUCCACAGCGGCACCUGAACCUCGGGGGUCCAACAGGGACCGCGGACCUGCUGCUCAACCAGGGACCUGGAGCUGGGGAGGCAGAGACUAAACAGAUCCAGCUAGAGGAAAGCUUGAACAAUGAAGACUCCUGCUGAGCAGGCAUUCUACCCUGUGCCAGUGGAGACGAGGGCCUGCCUGAGGAGGACGCUGGCUUCAUGGACAAGAAGUGGUGGUGUGUGCUUUUGGAAGACGUACACAGUCAAGAGGAGCUGACUCUUCCUGAUGUAUUCUCACCAUCUAGGACAGUGCCUGGGACCCAGCAAGUAUUCGAAAAGUGCAGACUCUGAGUUUACAGAGGCAGCUCUCUCCUUCCACGCUGAGCUUUUCUAAGGCUUUAUAACGUAAGUCAGCUGAGGAGGAAGCCCUCCCGUGGACAGCGCAUGCUCCCUCAUGGGUGUAAUCCAGGCGCUUCAACCAAACACAGCUAAAACGACUGUGUUGCAAGUAAGGCAGGAAGACACCAACUAGUGCAUGGUUAUCCCUGGAAGCCUUGGAUUCUGGUACCACUCAAAGUCAAGAGGGUCUCCCUAGACUUAACUGUCCCAAAGAAUUGUUCCAGUCUCAGCAGCACCACAUUUCUGAAUUAGCUUUCCUAAUGGAGCCUCUGCUGAAACCCGCAUCCAGACUUUGAUGUUCCUUUGGACCCCCUUGGUACCAAAACAGUCACCUGUAAGUGAUCAAAACCACAGUCAUCACUGAGAAAAGAAGACACUUUGUGACAAACCCAUCAUUUGGAGAUAAACACCACUGCCCUAUGACAGAAGGUGAUUUUCUCAAGGUCACACACAGAUGGCCAGGGAUGGCAUUCAUGUGUCAGUUGGAUUUUUGCUUGUGUGUUAUAUGCAGCAGAAAUACUCUCUUCUGUAUUGGGAUGGCCCUUCAGAAGUUACAGGCAGACUGGCAAUCUGGACUGAGAAAGAGGUGGGAGGAAGCAGCUCUGAAAAGCUGGAAUUAUGAACCUUUAGAAAAUGAGCCCUAAGUGGGAAAGGCCUAAUUGGGAUGUGCAGCCAGGAUAGAGGAUAAAACUCCAGAUGCUUCUUCUGGCCUGGUCGCAUUCACACAUGGGAGCAAAUCCUGAGAGAGGCCCUCUGAUUGGCUGAUGUUGGGAUCCACUCCAUCAUCUGGGGAAGGUGUUUGGCUUUGGAUGUUGAGUGAAAGAUGUCUACUUUACUCUCCUUCUGAGACCCAUGUGGCAGAGGUGGGGUGGGGGCGGGGAGGUGUAUCCCCAAUGGAAGCCCCGAUACUGUUAGAGGAAGGCAAGAACUAGAGAAGCCAGAUGCAAUGACAACCUCCUUCAGUUUAGAGUGGCAGCCCUCGUGUAGCUGAAAGUGGCCAGGAGAGGCAAACUGGACUUGGCUUGGGUCAAUUAGGAAGGCUUUGCUUUCCAAAUACAGGAUGCCUAACUAUUUCUUUGGCCAUGGAAUGUGGAUAUGAUCCUGGAGGCCAGACAUCCAUCUUAAAUCUACGUGGUGAUGAACAGAACAUCUAAAGCUCUCUGCUAAGGAUGGAGGAGUGGGCCAACGAAGUCAUCAUGAGCAGCUGCACCAACUCUGAACUUCCUGCCUUGUGACGUCUUACAAGAAAACUGAACCUUAAGUUGACCAAUUCACUGAACUUGGUAACUGCCAGUCUGGAACAAUCCCAUAGUACAAAUCCAAGUGAGAAUUCUGGUCUUUUGACUCCCUAUGCAGUUGUGGUAGUUUGAAUGUAAUUGGCCCCCAAUAAGCUCAUAGGGAAUAACACUAUUAGGAGGUGUGGCCUUGUUGAAGUAGGCCUUGUUGGAAGAAGUAUGUCACUGUGAGGGUGGGAUUUGAGAUCUCUUAUACUCAAGAUAUUGCCCAGCGUCUCAGUUCACUUUCUGUUGUCUUCAGAUCAAGAUGUAGGACUCUCAGCUCCUUCUGCAGUACCAUGUCUGCCUGCAUGCCACCAUGUCCUGCCAUGAUGAUAAUGGACUAAAGCUCUGAACUGUAAGCCACCCCAGUUAAAUGUAUUUCCCUUAUAAGAGUUGCUGUGGUCAUGGUGUCUCUUCAUCUUUUGUACUUACAAAGUCACGGUUCUUGACUUUAAGGUCAAGUUGGAUUACACAAAGUUCUCUAGCGGAUCAGACCCAAUCUGAUUUCUGGAGCUAUAGAAGAGGGAUCUAUUAUGGGAACUGGCUCCCGUGACUAUGGAAGCUGUGAAGUCUUACAAUCUGUCGAUCUUCCGCUAGUUGGAGAGACAGGAAAACUAGUGGAAUUUAGUCUGAGUUUGAAAGCCUGAGA
Molecule: non-coding RNA, 2393 nt
Organism: Peromyscus maniculatus bairdii (prairie deer mouse)
Lineage: Eukaryota; Metazoa; Chordata; Mammalia; Rodentia; Cricetidae
Source: RefSeq, a predicted model, not a curated record